AGAAUAAACCUAUUAAAAGUAUAAUCUUGGAAAGUCUUUUUAAUUCUAAAAUACUUGAAUGAUUUUAUUAUAAGUCUAAUACAACUGUAAAAAUUGAAAGAGAAUUUUUAUAACCAAACGAAUGUAUUAUUGCUAUUCCAUUUUAUGUAUCAAGAUAAUGUAUGUUUAGGCACAAAACAUUUUCAUGCGAAUACAAGAAUUUCACCAAAUGUCAUAAAACUUCAAAUAAAUGGUAGGAAUGUAUGACUUUACAAUGAAUGCCAUGGAAAAUGUCAACCAUUUAUGGGUUAUAUAGCAAUACAUCAAGUAUAAGUAGAAAAAAUACGUGUUUAUUUAAAUUUAAUACUAUUGAUAAGACACGAAGUCGAAAUAAUUUUUAUAACUUACAAUCUAUAUAAAAAGUUAAUAUAUUAGUUAAAAAUUAUAACGAUGAAUUGCUCGAGAGGAAGCACACGUUAGAUUUGCCUGAAAAUUAUUAAUUAUUUAUCAAUAUGUUUAUUAAUUAUUAAUCGCAUCAUAGAAAAUCAAUAGUUUUAGUUAAGUGUAAUAACAAAUCGAAAUAAUAGAAAAAUAAAUUUCAAUAUUCAUUAAAAACAAUUAAAAAAGUGUUGUUAUUUUUUUUUCAAUAACAGAAUUUUUUUAAUUAAGGCACGUCUUAGUUGUAGGAAAAAUUGAUGUUUUUUCAUAUAAACUCUUAAUGUUAGUGUUAAAAACAAGGUAAAAAAAUAGGUUGAUAUCUGAGAAAGUUGUACUUACAUAAUUCUUAAUAAUGAUUAUUUUAUUGUGUUAAGAAAAAAUGAUAUAAUAUUUAAGACUCAAAAUAUGACUUAUGAAGUAACCCAUUAAAAUAGUGAAGAAGGUUAUGACUUUAAGAGUAGUGAUCUGCCAUCAAGGUGAACAUCAAUUUUACUUGGACAAUGCGUAUGGCAGGGAUUAUUUGAAAAAUACAACAAAAAAUAUUUUUCUUAAAGCCACUCAAAAGCAUUAUGUGGUAGUUUAUUCGUCAUAGAAAAAUAUAGUAACAUUUUAUAGUAUAAUACCUCCUCAGAUUCUAAAUGUAUAUAAUAAUUUUAAUCAUUAUCUAAGUGUAUACAAAACAAUUAAUUAGUGUUUAUGUAAUUCAUUAAAAACUUAUAAAUUAAUUUAAUUAUUAAUUAAUUAAAUUAUCUAAACUAAGACAAAUAAUGUUUUGUCAAAAUUUCUCAUUAUAAAUGAUGAAACAAUUCUCUUUUGUUUUUUCAAAAUUAAAUUGAAUAUAAGUCAAUUAUGUCAAGAAGCCUCGCUUCUUUUUUUUUAUCACAUUAUUUCGGUAUUAUUUUUAAUUAAGACUAUAAAGCGUUAAUUGUUAUUUUCAUUAUCGAAAAAAGACAAUUACAAUAAACGGUUUAACUUUUUUUUUGCUAAAAAGGGGUAAUGAUCAAUCGAGUUUUACACAGUUAAUUUCAUUAACCUCACCUUAUUAGUCAACCAAUUCCAUGAAUUUUUAAUUUAAAAAUACAAAAGUAAAAAACAUUUAAUUUCGUUAAUAAAACGAUAUUUAAACUAUUUGCUUUGUAAAAAAUUGAAAAAGGAUUGUUUUUCAGGAAUUUUAAUUAUGUAGAUAAUUAAAAUACAUUUGAAGUUGAAUUAAAAAAAACUAUAGAACUGUCAUUUAAACAUUUAAAUUUAUGUAUGUGAAUAAUGUUCUAAAAUCGAAGUUAACAUUUCAAUUUAUAAUAUUUUAGUUUCGAUGCAAAGCUGAGAAGUAUUAAUUUUAUUACAAUGUGUUUAUUUAUUUUUUAUUUGUGUCUGUUACAAUUAUUUCUCAACUCUCACUAAACGGAUUUAUUUCAACAACAUAACAAAAGAUCACAAAUAGUAUCUAGUCAAAGAAAUAACCCUCAACAAUUGAAAAAAUUUCUUUUUUUUACUUUUUACAUUUUGAACACUACAUUAACAACCCUUAAAUGGAGGACAUUCUCAAAAUAAUACACGAAUCAAAAUAUAUUUACUUCUAAAGAUACCGUAAAUAAUUUUCUGUCAUUUGGUAUACUUUUUCUUAUAAUUCAACUCUUUACCUGAUAACAAGAGGGAAUUCAAAAUUAUAACUUUACACAAAAAACUAAUAUUUUAACUUAACUUUUGAUAAUUAUACGGAAAUAUUGACACUGUUUUGUAUAUUUUAAAUUAAAGCUUAUGUAAUACACUUCAAUUUAAAUCAAAAACUUAGUCCCCGCAUCUUAUCUUUGUAAUGAAAACAAACAUCAAAUUAAAAAAAAAAAUACGUUUUUUUGUUGAAAUUCUGGAUUUAAUAUUUUUAAAUUUAUAUUGCUUUAACUUUUUGAAAAAUACCUAAAUAAAACGAAUGUGCACUACUAUAUUGGUAUAAUCCCACUUCCUUGACAAUUCCACAUGCAGGUUUAAAAGAAACUGGAACGUGACCUAAUAACAUAUAAUCAAAAAAAAAAAUUUUUACCGGGGUGUUACUAAUGGUUGAUUACCUGACAUGUUUUUUACUCAAAGAUGUACAUUCACUCGACAAUAUAACAAUAAAAAUUAUUGUUAUAUUGUAAAGAUUGUUUCGCUAAUAAAGAGGUAAAAUAAACACCUCAUAUUUAUACACUUUAUGACGAUUUAAAUAAUGGUAUUUUUCAAAUUGAUACGCGUUGAGGAACUUAUUUGAUUGCUAAAUAAGUGAAGUAAAUUUACGAUAAAAGCUCAAAAUUUCGUUAAAUCACUAUUUAUAGAAUUAAAAAAAUUCAAUAAAAAUUAUAGUGAUCAUUUUUGUGAAACACUUGGUGUUAUGUAAAAUGGAUAUUCAGAAAUAUUCCGUGCCUAGUUUCAACUUUGAUUUCAUCUGCUGUCGUGUUGUUGAAUUAAAUUUAAUCUACAAUUUUUUUAUACGUAAAUACUAGUGUUUUACUAAUUAGUUAUCAUCUUAAAAAUUAUAGGUGGUACAAAAAAUAUAAUUUCAUAUUCAAAAUCAGUGAAAAAAAUUUAUUUGACUCUAAUGAAAACUCGAUGUAGACCAGUGUAUUUCAUAAUUAAUAAACAUUUAUUUUCUGAAAAGUUUUACAUGAAGCUUUUCAAUUUUUAUAUACGUUUGCUAUUAAAAUAACAAAAAAUACAACUACUUCAUUAUUUUUUACAAUUUAUCCGUAAAAAUUACAAUAUUUAAAUUAUUGAUUAUCAAUUUCAUAAUAAAUUUAAUUACUAUAAUUAGUAUUUCAUUAAUAAUGUAUUCAUAUAUUAUACGUAUGUACAAAGACUACUACUAAUCAGAAUAUAAUUGAGGAAAUAGGAACAGAUGUUGCUUUUGAAAUAAUUCACCAAUUUCUCAAAUGCAAACAUUAUCUACAAAUUCGUAUCCAAGUGCUUUUUAUAAUAGUGAUUUUUAUUACUUUCGGAUAUCAACUAUACUUGUUCUAACUAUUCUACAUUUACACUGUGCCGCCACCCUAACUGUGCUUCCGUUUUUCAUUAUUCAAAAUGGAAUGAAAAAAUCUAAGGUUAUUUUCUAGAGGCAGAUUAUUUAAUUUUAUAGAACCUACAUUUUAUUAUUAUAAUUUAUCAAUCAAACAUGUGUAGGGUAUAAUUACCAGUAUAUAAUCACCAAAUAAUCUGAUUACGGCAAAUAGUAGUUAAUAUAUAGCUUAUAUGUAAUAUAAGGAGUAAUUAUUUAUAUCAAAGAAAAUAUCUUAAUGUAGCCCAAUCAUUUGAAAAUUCUGAUUUUUAACAUGAAAUAAUAUAUUAAAAGUAAUGUUAAAAUUAAUAAUAAUUAUAUCUAGAGGAUGUUAUAAAUGACUUUUAAGAAGUAGACGAAAUUAUAAAUAAAAAAAUCGUAGUAUAAUAAAUUUGGAAAUCCUUUACCAACCCAUAGGUGCGCAUUAAAUGGUUUUAAACAUCACUGAGUAAUAAAUUAACAACCCUAUAUUUUUUUUUUGUUAAUUUUUCCAUUAACUAUUAACAAAAAGGCCAUUAUUAUAUUUAGCAGCCUCAAGAUAUAAAAUAUGUGCGAACAUAUAAUUUUCCUCAAUAUUUUAAAAUUACAUACAUAUUUUAAACAGAAUACCUUUCUUUAUUAUAAAUAUUAUCUGAACCAAUAAAUAAUUAAAAUAUAAAAUGUAAUUUAUAAUGCGCUAUGUACUAUUUUAUUACACUAUUUAGAAAAAGGUACAAUCGAUGGAGGCGAUCAUUUAUCCCGCGCAAGAAAUAACCGCCAUUGAAUGAUGAAGAAUUUUUCAGCAGAAAAAAAUAUAAAUUAAGGUAGGAUUUAAAAAAAUAAAUCUUUACCUAUUAUUAACUGUUUAUUCACCGAUAAAGCUACCCUACUACUCAUAAUUAGUUUUCAUGAAAUAUUAAUAAUAAGUCAACAAGCUUCAAAUGAAUUAAUUUCAUUGAAUACAACUUCAAGUAUGUUUAUCUAGAAAUUAUUGACAACAAAUGCAAUCAAGAACGCAAUAUACUUUAUAAUUUGACGGAGCAUCAGUACUAUUGUUAUUCCACUAGUAUAGCCGAUAAAAUAAGUGUACCUAUAAAUAAUGAAAAACAUCACUUCAAUUCAAAUGAAUAUACAGUUAGCAAUUUAUGAACCGAUUAAAAUAAGUUUAGAAGAAAAAAACGUUCAUUUGUUUAACUCUUCUUUCUCAUAACUUUUUUGUUGAAUGAUACGACGUCGUUGGAUAUUCGUGAAAUAGUUUUUGGAAAAAUUACGUUUGGCUAAACGUUUGGCAUUAAGUUAUUAUAAAGAAAAAUUUUAAAAAGUCAAGAAGAUUUAUUUGGAUUUAGUUUUAACCCUUAAAAUAUAGCUAAAAUGAAUUAAGAUAAUUAAAAUUUAUCAUUUUGUAGUCCAUAUAUAUUUACUGCUGUUUGAUAUAUUUUUCACUUAGAUUAGAUUAGUGCUGUAUGAAUUGUAUUUCAUUAAGUUUUUAUUGAAUAAUUACGCACAUAGAAAUAAUAUUUUUGUACCUUCCUCGUAUACUAUUGCAUUUUUGUACCAUAAUAGCUCCUAUUUAAGUUAGCCUCUUAUUUUAUUUAUUAUUAUUCUAGAAUAGUGUAACAGUAAUUUCCACGUCUUAAGUUGGCACUGAGAUUGGUACAUCUCAGUCAUUAAUGACUAGCUAACAAGUUCUUUACUCAAAGACGUGUUUCGUUGUAAUACUAUAUUCUAAAAAAUAUUACUUUUUCGAUGUUUUAAUUCUAUUAUCAAUGUUUAUAGUUGACAAAAUAAUAUGCUCUUGUGUAGAAUGUAUGGAGUAUCUCUGAACUAAAUGUCAACACAACCUUAUCGUAUGUUACCGCCUACAAAGCAACCCCCAUAGUUUCAAAUUAAUAGAGCCACGGCAAGUUUAUCGAUGUCACAAUGCUGGUUACGUUUCAUAGCCAGAUUUUUAGGUAAAACUUCUACUAGAAUUUCCAGUUAAGUAUUACCAGCUACGGCUCCUAGAAAUGUCUUAGUAUAAUUAUAAAAUUAAAUCAAAAAUUUUACUGCAAAAGUAAUAACAAUAACAAAAAACGUGAUUAUUUAAUUAAAAAUUAUUGUAGCGUUAUGACUUCAAAAUAUAGUAUAUGUAUUUGGUUUGAUAAAAUUUCAUUAAUCAUUGUCAUUGUAUAGUCUUCAAAAACCGGAAGCUUAAAUCGUGCACGUAUUUUAUAUAAUACCUUAUAUCACCAGUAGAAAUUUUCCUAGAUAGAUUUAGUAUUAAAUAAAAUUAAAACUAUAUUAAAAAUAUUAUUAAUUUAAAAAGAAAAAAAAUAUUAAACCCAAAAGCUACAAAAAUUACUGAAAAUUCGAGGAUAGUUUAGCGUAUCCGCCACUUUACCGUGAUUUUUUGUAACUUUUGAGUUUAAUAUUUUUUAGUUUUUAAAUCAAUAAUAUUUUUAAUAUAGCUUUAAUUUUAUUUAAUUAAUUAGCCACAAUUGAUAAAUUUUUAUUAAGUUGGUAUUAAAUUUAUUAUGGGAGCGGAUAUACCUUAGAUAAGGAAUUAUGUUCAAGAUCAUUCUAAAUAGUUUUCACUGGUAUUUUUCAUUUGCAUUUAUUCGUUAUUAUUAUAUGUUAUGACAACCUCAUAAAUAACACGGGUCAACAAACAAUUUUUAUUGUUUACAUUUUAUAGAUCAAUUCUAUAAGUUAAUAACAAUUUAUACAGUUGUGAUAAAAUAUUAUGUUGGAUACUUUUGUUUUUAAUAAAUAUAAUAUGAUUAAAUAAUCUUUAAUUAGCUUGUUCAAAUGGAUUUGUCAGUUAUAUGUUUCAUACUGUAUGUUUUAUUUUAGUUAAUAAUAAAAAAUAAAUAUUCCAUAAUACCAGUUAAAUGGAUUAUUUACUGUAGAAAAAUGUGUUUUUUGUAAGUGGCCAAAAAAAAAAAAAUGUCAAGAACAUAAUUAUAGAUUUUACUCAACCAAAGAAUGAUUGGCAUUCAUAUCCCAUUCAGGUUUUAUCUCAGUAUUUUGGUAAGUUUUGUGAUAAUUUUUAAAAAUUCAAGUUGAUUAUUCUGAAGUUUCUAUGAAAGAAAAGAAAUAUUUACAUCUUCAAACACCACACCAACUAAAAAAAAAGGACCAAACAGAAAAAGCAAUUGAUGAUAGUCCUAGUAAUAAGUUUACUUCCUAACUCUGUAGGAUAGUUUUAUUUCUUACUUUCUUACGCUUGAGAAAUAUACCAAGAUUUUAUUAAACGGUUUUGAAUACAUACAGAUAUAUUAAUAUUUUAAUAUUAUUGA
Daktulosphaira vitifoliae (grape phylloxera) is the source of this 6699-nucleotide long non-coding RNA. RefSeq lists it as uncharacterized. The transcript is spliced from 3 exons. The record is from RefSeq and is a predicted model, not a curated record. NCBI's taxonomy places the organism in Eukaryota, Metazoa, Arthropoda, Insecta, Hemiptera, Phylloxeridae.